UGGGGUAUCGCCAAGCGGUAAGGCACCGGUUUUUGAUACCGGCAUUCCCUGGUUCGAAUCCAGGGCGGUAA
This 71-nucleotide transfer RNA is filed under the name Escherichia coli. RNAcentral describes it as "tRNA-Gln". The stretch from base 10 to 64 matches the Rfam family "tRNA", at positions 10 to 63 of the family's 71-position model. Rfam says of the family: Transfer RNA (tRNA) molecules are approximately 80 nucleotides in length. Their secondary structure includes four short double-helical elements and three loops (D, anti-codon, and T loops). Lineage: Bacteria; Pseudomonadati; Pseudomonadota; Gammaproteobacteria; Enterobacterales; Enterobacteriaceae. The record is from RNAcentral.